Platichthys flesus (European flounder) is the source of this 559-nucleotide long non-coding RNA. RefSeq lists it as uncharacterized. The transcript is spliced from 3 exons. The record is from RefSeq and is a predicted model, not a curated record. NCBI's taxonomy places the organism in Eukaryota, Metazoa, Chordata, Actinopteri, Pleuronectiformes, Pleuronectidae.
GUGUGUGUGUGUGUGUGUUCUGGUAAUCAUCACGCGAUGGGGACCGUUGACUGUUUACACAGUCACGUCAUGGGGACCGGUUGCGCUUUGGGGACCAAAAUCCCGGUCCCCAUGAGGAUAACCCUUUUAAAUGACUACUAGAGCUACUCUGAAGGUGCCCGUGAAGUUUUAAGCAUUGGCCCAUACGACAUGUUUUUUGGUGAGUGUGAGUGUGUGAGCAUUGCUCAUUGGUGGCCCUACUGUUUCUAGUUAGUACUGCACCCACUGCUUCACACACACACAUCUUCCAAAUAUGGUUGGGUGCCACCCACUUCCUUGUCCCCAUUAGGAAUGAUUCAAGCAGCGAGGACAUUUUCAGCAUCAAGAGGUAGCUAUCAACAGUAAAAGAAGAUUAUUUGCUGGAGAAACUAGCUAAGAAGAUAAGAACAUGUGCAGAGGAGCAAAAGUAAAGCAUAAGAAAUGCCACCACGGAUCAGCAAUUCAACAUGAUACACAUCUGCAAAUUAGAGGUCCAGUAUAUUUAUGCAGCAAAAGUAUUGAUGCCUUCAGAGAAGAUGGC